RNAcentral lists this ribosomal RNA (233 nucleotides) under uncultured bacterium. RNAcentral's name for it is "partial 16S ribosomal RNA". It matches the Rfam family "Bacterial small subunit ribosomal RNA", at positions 28 to 250 of the family's 1533-position model. The record is from RNAcentral.
GACGAACGCUGGCGGCGUGCUUAACACAUGCAAGUCAAGGGGGUGUCGUCGCGAAGACGGCGCAACCGGCGAACGGGUGCGUAACACGUGAGCAACCUGCCGAGGUGUGGGGGAUAGCCGGCCCAACGGCCGGGUAAUACCGGCAUACGUUCUCUGAGGGACAUCCCUUGGGGAAGAAACCGAUGGGGCAACCCAUGGGGCAGCUCGAGGGGCUCGCGGCCUAUCAGCCAGUU